Hemicordylus capensis (graceful crag lizard) is the source of this 965-nucleotide long non-coding RNA. RefSeq lists it as uncharacterized. NCBI's taxonomy places the organism in Eukaryota, Metazoa, Chordata, Lepidosauria, Squamata, Cordylidae. The transcript is spliced from 3 exons. The record is from RefSeq and is a predicted model, not a curated record.
CCGGGGGUGGGGGGUAGAGAUUAGUAUGCUUUAUUCUAAAGGUCUAUAGGAGGGAAUGUUGGCUCCAUAAAAAUUUGCAUGCAUAAAGUUCCAGCUUGUUGAUCUCAUAUAGAAGAAUAAUCAGAACCAUUAUGAGUAUGCCACUGUGCAACAGAGGAUUAUGAGUAUGCUACUGCACAACAGAGGACUGGAAUUGCAGUCGUGGGGUGCUUAGUGCACUAUCGGAGGCCUAGCACAGGGCUUUGCCUCAGGGACCACCAUAACCUAGCACCAAACCUGCAAGCUUCUGAAAGAGAAAAUAGUGACUAUGGAGAAAACAGAAUGCUGUGGGGGAGAGAAUGACUGUUAGAGGCCUGAGUGAGUGAGGAACCGAUACAUCAGCCGCAAAGAGAGAAGGAGUUCUGUCUGAGAAGCAAGAGGGAAGGUUCUGCUGGAACGGAGGUAGAUCUCCACCUUUUGAGCCUGCAGGAGACUGGGAGAUCCAGUCGCUGCACAGAGACUGACCUUAGGAGACGUCAUCUAAGCAGGAAAUUGUCAGCCAAGUCUCCUGCCUCUGAGGUGCCUGCCAUCAGAGGGGGGACGCCAGCAGCAGCCGCUGUGCCAAGACUGUGAACCAGCUGUGUUUGUGUCUGUGACUGUGUACUUAAAGAGAGGGUUGAAAAAUAAGAAAUAUAUGGACAAUGGGAUGAUAGUGUCUGUUAUCUGCCAAAUGUAUGAUAUGUGUUUGUUAUAUCAGAAGGUUCAUUACCAACAAAAGUACAUGUGAUAUUCCUGGGGUAUACUUUAUUUGUUCUUUAGCAACUGAUUUUCCAUAUUAGUGGUUAUUUACCCCAAUUCUGACUUCUUAGUCCCCAGAGAAAUCUAUUGCCUUUUGCAAAAGUUCCAAAAGGUCCACUCUUUUGAUUGGUUGAGAUCUAUAAGGUUUGAACACCCACCUGAGGAGGUACCAUAAAGUAAAGCUCACA